GCACGGCUAAAUACGUGCCAGCAGCCGCGGUAAUACGUAUGGUGCAAGCGUUAUCCGGAUUUACUGGGUGUAAAGGGAGCGUAGACGGAUGGGCAAGUCUGAUGUGAAAACCCGGGGCUCAACCCCGGGACUGCAUUGGAAACUGUUCAUCUAGAGUGCUGGAGAGGUAAGUGGAAUUCCUAGUGUAGCGGUGAAAUGCGUAGAUAUUAGGAGGAACACCAGUGGCGAAGGCGGCUUACUGGACAGUAACUGACGUUGAGGCUCGAAAGCGUGGGGAGCAAACAGGAUUAGAUACCCUGGUAGUCCACGCCGUAAACGAUGACUACUAGGUGUCGGGUAGCAAAGCUAUUCGGUGCCGCAGCUAACGCAAUAAGUAGUCCACCUGGGGAGUACGUUCGCA
RNAcentral lists this ribosomal RNA (400 nucleotides) under uncultured bacterium. RNAcentral describes it as "bacterial SSU rRNA". It matches the Rfam family "Bacterial small subunit ribosomal RNA", at positions 490 to 890 of the family's 1533-position model. The record is from RNAcentral.